This 526-nucleotide ribosomal RNA is filed under the name uncultured bacterium. RNAcentral describes it as "bacterial SSU rRNA". It matches the Rfam family "Bacterial small subunit ribosomal RNA", at positions 21 to 518 of the family's 1533-position model. The record is from RNAcentral.
GGUUCAGGACGAACGCUGGCGGCGUGCCUAAUACAUGCAAGUCGAACGGUCUUUUCUAUGGAAGCUUGCUUCCACUGAGAAGAUAGUGGCGAACGGGUGAGUAACACGUGGGUAACCUGCCCAUAAGAGGGGGGAUAACAUCCGGAAACGGGUGCUAAUACCGCAUAGUUUUCUUGAUCGCAUGAUCGGGAAAGGAAAGACGGCCUUUGUGCUGUCGCUUAUGGAUGGACCCGCGGCGUAUUAGUUAGUUGGUGAGGUAACGGCUCACCAAGACGAUGAUACGUAGCCGACCUGAGAGGGUGAUCGGCCACAUUGGGACUGAGACACGGCCCAAACUCCUACGGGAGGCAGCAGUAGGGAAUCUUCCGCAAUGGACGAAAGUCUGACGGAGCAACGCCGCGUGAGUGAAAGAAGGUUUUCGGAUCGUAAAACUCUGUUGUCAGAGAAGAACAAGUUGGAGAGUAACUGCUCCAGCCUUGACGGUAUCUGACCAGAAAGCCACGGCUAACUACGUGCCAGCCGCGGC